CUCUUACAGUGCCCGGACUCUUUAGUUGAGGCACAUGGGCUUAGUUUCAGCUCAUAAACUUCGCUAUUCCUUGACAUGUGGAAUCUUAGUUACCCGACCAGGUAUCAAAAUUGCAUCCCCUGCAUUCCUGCUGCUGCUGCUGCAAAGUCGCUUCAGUUGUGUCCUACUCUGUGCAACCCCAUAGACGACAGCCCGCCAGGCUCCCCUGUCCCUGGGAUUCUCCAGAUUUCAAGAAGGCUGCUGUGCCUCUGUCCAUCACAUCUGUGUUCCAGGCAGAACAUGAAGGUAAAUGCAAAAGGCUGAAGAAUAUCAGCUGAGUCUAUCUCUUUAAAAAAAAAGAAGAAGAAGAAUUUUUCUGCAUGCAGGAUUUUGUUCCUUGAUCAGGCAUUGAAUCCAUCCCCCCUGCAUUGGGAGCUCAGAGCCUUAGCCACUGGACCACCAGGU
Long non-coding RNA from Bos taurus (domestic cattle), 444 nucleotides. The record is from Ensembl. Lineage: Eukaryota; Metazoa; Chordata; Mammalia; Artiodactyla; Bovidae.